RNAcentral lists this unclassified non-coding RNA (272 nucleotides) under fungal sp. Its description in RNAcentral is "partial internal transcribed spacer region". The stretch from base 1 to 46 matches the Rfam family "Eukaryotic small subunit ribosomal RNA", at positions 1786 to 1831 of the family's 1831-position model. The record is from RNAcentral. Lineage: Eukaryota; Fungi.
AAGUCGUAACAAGGUUUCCGUAGGUGAACCUGCGGAAGGAUCAUUAAUAGUAUAUGUUUGGUGAUUUCCACAGCUGCUCCGGCGGUUUCAUCAGACAUUCAUGUGGAUGUUCCGUGUUACCGUCUAUUUGUACUUGGUGAGUUGUGGAUGCUUUGUUUGACAAAUGAGAAAGCAGCUUGCCAAAGUUUACUAUUUCCAAACCAAAUGAACGUUUCAACGCGUCAAGCGUCUAUUAAUAAGUACAACUGUUAGCAAUGGAUCACUCGGUUCUC